AAAGAUAAAAAUUUUAAGUCUUUUAUAAAAUAAAACACAAAUAUAUGAAAAUGUGACAUUUACUAAAUAUUUGUCAAUUGAAAAAAAAAAACAAAAAUAAAUCCACGCUUUGAAAGCGCGGGUCAAAAUCUAGUAUUAAACUUAUAGUUCAACACCAUCCAUAGUUGGAUACAUGUGGAUGUGGUGGAGAUAUACAUUUUAUGAAAUACAAUAAUUUAUUUAUACACUCUCAUACGUGUGUUAGCGUGUGUGUACAAAUUAUUAUCGUUAUUUCUCUGAAAACUAUAUCAUAGAGAUAAAGUUAGACUGAUUAUGCGUGUGCAUCAUGUUAACAACAUUAGUUUAUGUAUCUUUUAUUGUUUUUAAAACAUCACGUAUACCGUUAUUGGUUAGAAUUUUUUACCUUCUAGGACACAUUUUGUCUUUGGAAUUACACAUUAAGACACUUCUUGCUGGAGGUACACAUUCUUCAUGUACAAUGUCAUAGAUACCCUCAACCUUAUCUACAACUAACUAGAUGAACUAACUGUACAUCCUAACUAAGGUUAAAAGUAUUUUGAUUUAUUUAUUGAAUAUUAUUUAAUGGUUUGAAUUUCGAAUUUCGAACAAAAUAUAUGUUCAUUAAACAUUAUCCUAUCGUCUUUUAUGAUUACCACAAUUGACAAACCUUACAGUAGCUAUUCCACUCCCCCUCGAUUAUCUCCUUCAUCUUCACCUUCUUCACCAAAUCUAACCCAGAAACCAAUUAUCAGUUAUGAUCGAAACCCCGGAAAUUUUUGGCAGUAAUGAUCGAAAGUGCUUAUAACUGUCAGAAUCAAGCUAUAGUCUCUGUUAACUUUCGAUUUGAAGCUCCUCAAACCACUCUCCGUCCAGUAAAAGCUGUUGAAGAUGUUCAUCGCAGACUCUGUUCUCUAUCAUAUCUAAAAGGAGCUCGAUUAUACGCAAGUGAAGGACCUAAAGACUACAAUCUACUUGCUUACACCUACUUCUCCUCAACUUGAUGUGAAGAAACCCCAAGAUAUUGUUCGUCCUGGGAGUUUGAGUUUGUUAGCUGAAGGUUAUGAUCGAUGUGUUCAAGUGUGUUCUGAAUAUGCUAAAACUUUUAAUCUUGGUUGGGAUCUUCUUCUUCUUUCAUUGCUGAGUUUUAUGUCCACGACAUAUAUGUCCACAUUUUAUAUAUCCAUAUUUUCUUUGUCCACAAACAAUUAAUCUACAAAAAAUAUUUUGUCAUGAUAAAUUUUUCAUAUCCAAAUUUCUAAAAUAUACUAAAAUGGAUAUUAAAAUGUUGACAACAAAAAGUUAUAAUUUAUUAUGUCUAAUUUAUUUAUUGAUAUACUUUAAUAUGUCAAAAUAAAUCACAUAAAGAAAUAGAGGGUAAUUUAUAAUAGUAAUUUCAAAAAAAUCAAAUAAAUCCAACCCUAUGAUCUAGUUUCAACAAAAUGGACAAUAUAUAUGUCCAACCCUAUGAUUUUUUGUAUCCACAAUAUAUAUGUCCACAUUUUAUUUGUUCACAAACAUUUAAUGGACAAUUUUUUUGUGGAUAUGAUUUUUUAUAUUCAAAAUUUUAAAAUAUAUUAAAACGGAUUUUAAAAUGUAGAAGAAAAAGUUAUAAUUUAUUAUAUUUAAUCUACUCAUUUAUAUACUUUAAUAUGUUAAAAUAAUCACAUAAAGAAAUAUAGGAAAAUUGAUAAUAGUAAUAUAUGAAAAUUAAAAAAUUAUAGUCCUACAAUCUAGUUUAAGUUGCACAUCUAAUAGCUUAAAAGACCAUUUUCUAUACUGAAUUGUUUUUUAUACAUUUAUUAUGUCUGUGGUCAUCUUUUUUCACUAUCCACAAUAUAUAUAUCCACGUUUUAUUUGUCCAUAAACACUUAAUCUACAAAAAAAAAAGAUUUGUCAUGAUAUGUUUUUAAUAUUCAAAUUUCUAACAUAUACUAAAAUGGAUCUUAAAAUGUUGACAACAAAAAGUUAUAAUUUAUUAUGUUCAAUUUAUUUAUAGAUAUACUUUAAUAUGUCAAAAUAAAUCACAUAAAGAAAUAGAGGGGAAUUGAUAAUAGUAAUU
This is a long non-coding RNA of Brassica rapa (field mustard), 2059 nucleotides long. RefSeq lists it as uncharacterized. NCBI's taxonomy places the organism in Eukaryota, Viridiplantae, Streptophyta, Magnoliopsida, Brassicales, Brassicaceae. The record is from RefSeq and is a predicted model, not a curated record.